Vicia faba (fava bean) is the source of this 234-nucleotide non-coding RNA. NCBI's taxonomy places the organism in Eukaryota, Viridiplantae, Streptophyta, Magnoliopsida, Fabales, Fabaceae. The record is from the annotation of a GenBank genome assembly.
AUGGAAGACUCUCCUGCUACUUAUAUCCACUUGGUGCACCGUUUGAUAGAAGAGUGUAUGUUAUUCAACAUGAGCCAAGAAGAAUGCAUGGAGGCUCUUUCCAAGCAUGCAAAUAUCAAACCAGUUAUCACCUCCACUGUUUGGAAAGAGUUAGAGAAAGAGAAUAAGGAUUUAGAUAAUUUCAUACGCAAAUUAAUAAGGGACAAAAUAAUAUUGGACCAUGGAACAACAUAG